GGGGGGGGGGGGGGGGGGGGCGGGGGGGUGGGGGGGGGGGGGGCGGGCGGGGAGCGUGGUCCGCGGACGUGAGCGGCGGGCGGGGGGGUGACACGGGGCGGACCUCCCUACCAGACUGGGAUAACGUCGGGAAACCGGAGCUCAUACCGGAGCAUAUAGUGAACCGCAGGGUUCAAUAGUGCAAGCCGGCUGUGCUGUCACCUGUAGAUGGAUCAGCGCCACAUCAGCUCGUCGGUAAGGUCACGGCUUAUCAAGGCGACGAUGCGUAGCCGACCUGGGAGGGUGACCGGCCAGCCGGUAACUGAGCCACGGUCCAGACUCCUACGCGAGGCAGCAGUAGGGAAUCUUCCGCAAUGGGCGAAUGCCUGACGGAGCAACGCCGCGUGAGUGAUGAAGGUCUUCGGAUCGUAAAACUCUGUUAUUCGGGAAGAACAAAUGUGUAAGUACCUAUGCACGUCUUGACGGUACCUAAUCAGAAAGCCACGGCUAACUACGUG
Molecule: ribosomal RNA, 497 nt
Filed under: uncultured bacterium
Lineage: Bacteria
Description: partial 16S ribosomal RNA
Rfam family: Bacterial small subunit ribosomal RNA
Source: RNAcentral